Trichomonas vaginalis G3 is the source of this 72-nucleotide non-coding RNA. The record is from Rfam. Lineage: Eukaryota; Parabasalia; Trichomonadida; Trichomonadidae.
GUCUCUGUGUUCUAGCGGUUAGGAUCCAACUUUCACACGGUUGGGAUGCCGGUUCGACUCCGGCCAGGGACA